UAACGGAAGGCAGCAGUGGGGAAUAUUGGACAAUGGGCGGAAGCCUGAUCCAGCCAUGCCGCGUGUGUGAAGAAGGCCUUUUGGUUGUAAAGCACUUUAAGCGAGGAGGAGGCUACUAGUACUAAUACUACUGGAUAGUGGACGUUACUCGCAGAAUAAGCACCGGCUAACUCUGUGCCAGCAGCCGCGGUAAUACAGAGGGUGCGAGCGUUAAUCGGAUUUACUGGGCGUAAAGCGUGCGUAGGCGGCUGAUUAAGUCGGAUGUGAAAUCCCUGAGCUUAACUUAGGAAUUGCAUUCGAUACUGGUCAGCUAGAGUAUGGGAGAGGAUGGUAGAAUUCCAGGUGUAGCGGUGAAAUGCGUAGAGAUCUGGAGGAAUACCGAUGGCGAAGGCAGCCAUCUGGGCCUAAUACUGACGCUGAGUCGAAAGGCAUGGGGAAGGCAAACAGGAUUAAGGAAUAACC
This 462-nucleotide ribosomal RNA is filed under the name uncultured bacterium. RNAcentral describes it as "bacterial SSU rRNA". It matches the Rfam family "Bacterial small subunit ribosomal RNA", at positions 339 to 787 of the family's 1533-position model. The record is from RNAcentral.